Molecule: ribosomal RNA, 482 nt
Filed under: uncultured bacterium
Lineage: Bacteria
Description: partial 16S ribosomal RNA
Rfam family: Bacterial small subunit ribosomal RNA
Source: RNAcentral
AUUGAACGCUGGCGGCAUGCUUUACACAUGCAAGUCGAACGGUAACAGGCCGCAAGGUGCUGACGAGUGGCGAACGGGUGCGUAAUGCAUCGGAACGUGCCCAGUCGUGGGGGAUAACUACUCGAAAGAGUAGCUAAUACCGCAUACGAUCUAUGGAUGAAAGCGGGGGACCGUAAGGCCUCGCGCGAUUGGAGCGGCCGAUGUCAGAUUAGGUAGUUGGUGGGGUAAAGGCUCACCAAGCCAAAGAUCUGUAGCUGGUCUGAGAGGACGACCAGCCACACUGGGACUGAGACACGGCCCAGACUCCUACGGGAGGCAGCAGUGGGGAAUUUUGGACAAUGGGCGCAAGCCUGAUCCAGCAAUGCCGCGUGCAGGAAGAAGGCCUUCGGGUUGUAAACUGCUUUUGUACGGAACGAAACGGCUCUGGUUAAUACCCGGGGCUAAUGACGGUACCGUAAGAAUAAGCACCGGCUAACUACGUG